UACGUAGGGGGCAAGCGUUGUCCGGAUUUACUGGGCGUAAAGCGCGCGCAGGCGGCCGUGCGGGUCCGGCGUGAAAGCCCCCGGCUCAACCGGGGAGGGUCGUCGGGGACCGCACCGCUUGAGGGCGGUAGGGGCUGGUGGAAUGCCUGGUGUAGUGGUGAAAUGCGUAGAGAUCAGGCGGAACACCAGUGGCGAAGGCGGCCAGCUGGACCGGCACUGACGCUGAUGCGCGAAAGCGUGGGGAGCAAACAGG
RNAcentral lists this ribosomal RNA (253 nucleotides) under uncultured bacterium. Its description in RNAcentral is "partial 16S ribosomal RNA". It matches the Rfam family "Bacterial small subunit ribosomal RNA", at positions 524 to 776 of the family's 1533-position model. The record is from RNAcentral.